GAUCAUUGUUGUAAAACUCAGCAGCCUCUGGGCUCCGUUCACUCGGGCCUAGAGCUGCGAUCCACAAACCAAACACACCUGUGCACCUAUGAAUUUUUUUCACCAAACGCAAAGUAGAUCAUUGAAUGUUUACAAAAAUCCUUCGAAGGAAGGUGAAAGUUAAAUACAACUUUCGGCAACGGAUCUCUAGGUUCUCCUAUCGAUGAAGAACGCAGCGAAUUGCGAUAAGUAAUUGUGAAUUGCAGAAGUCAGUGAAUCAUCGAAUCUUUGAACGCAUCUUGCGCCCUUUGGUAUUCCUUAGGGCAUGCCUGUUUGAGUGUCACGAGCAACCUUUAAACCUCGGGUUUUUUCAUUAAGACCUGCCUGGGUUUAGUCUUGAGCGCCUGCCCUGUCAAAGGGGCUCGCUCUAAAUGCAUUAGCUGGAAGCACCUUUCCAUAUGGUCGCCUGCUCUUUCUUUAAAGUAGUGGGGCGGACUGUCAGCGUGAUAAUUGUCUUGCUGGUGGUCUACCUCUACGAAAUUCAGAAAUUACCAAGAGCGGAUGUGCCGGAUAGCGUCUUUCGCUUCUAACCAAGGGAGCCGGUCCUGUCAAGGAUCGCGCUCUGCACUAUUUGACAUCUGGCCUCAGACAGGUAGGACUACCCGCUGAACUUAAGCAUA
RNAcentral lists this unclassified non-coding RNA (659 nucleotides) under Pseudozyma flocculosa. RNAcentral's name for it is "sequence contains 18S rRNA gene, ITS1, 5.8S rRNA gene, ITS2, 28S rRNA gene". The stretch from base 168 to 322 matches the Rfam family "5.8S ribosomal RNA". Lineage: Eukaryota; Fungi; Basidiomycota; Ustilaginomycetes; Ustilaginales; Ustilaginaceae. The record is from RNAcentral.